GCAGCAGUGCAGUAUAAUGGUUAGUGUACUGGGCUUGUAACUCAGGCGUACUGGGUUCGAUUCCCAGCUGGUGCA
Molecule: transfer RNA, 75 nt
Filed under: Anguilla anguilla (European eel)
Lineage: Eukaryota; Metazoa; Chordata; Actinopteri; Anguilliformes; Anguillidae
Description: tRNA-Thr
Rfam family: tRNA
About the family: Transfer RNA (tRNA) molecules are approximately 80 nucleotides in length. Their secondary structure includes four short double-helical elements and three loops (D, anti-codon, and T loops).
Source: RNAcentral